GAUUGCCCUAGUAACGGCGAGUGAAGCGGCAACAGCUCAAAUUUUAAAUCUGGCGCCUCUGGCGUCCGAGUUGUAAUUUGCAGAGGGUGUUCAGGCAUUGGGCCCAGGCUAGGUUCCUUGGAACAGGACGUCACAGAGGGUGAGAACCCCGUCUUCGCUUGGGAUUCCCUUGCCGUGUUGAACCCCUUCGACGAGUCGAGUUGUUUGGGAAUGCAGCUCUAAGUGGGAGGUAAAUUUCUUCUAAAGCUAAAUACCGGCCAAAGACCGAUAGCGCACAAGUAGAGUGAUCGAAAGAUGAAAAGCACUUUGGAAAGAGAGUUAAAAAGCACGUGAAAUUGUUGAAAGGGAAGCUCUUGCAGCCAGACUUGGCCGUAGGCGUUCAGCGGCCCUUCUGGGCCGUGCACUCCCCUACGGACAGGCCAGCGUCAGUUUCGKGGGCCGGACAAACACCGGAGGAAUGUGGCUUCGCCUCGGCGGAGUGUUAUAGCCUCCGGCAGCAUGCGGCCACCCGGGACUGAGGACCGCGCUCUGCUAGGAUGCUGGCGUA
RNAcentral lists this ribosomal RNA (547 nucleotides) under uncultured fungus. RNAcentral describes it as "eukaryotic LSU rRNA". It matches the Rfam family "Eukaryotic large subunit ribosomal RNA", at positions 73 to 633 of the family's 3401-position model. Lineage: Eukaryota; Fungi. The record is from RNAcentral.